GACUACAGGGGUAUCUAAUCCCUUUCGCUCCCCUAGCUUUCGUCCCUGAGUGUCAGUUGCGGUCCAGUAGAGCGCUUUCGCCACCGAUGUUCUUCCCAAUCUCUACGCAUUUCACCGCUACACUGGGAAUUCCCUCUACCCCUACCGCACUCUAGCUUUUCAGUUUCCACGGCUCCUCCGGGGUUAAGCCCCGCUCUUUCACCGCAGACUUGAAAGGCCACCUGCGGACGCUUUACGCCCAAUAAUUCCGGAUAACGCUUGCCUCCUCCGUAUUACCGCGGCUGCUGGCACGGAGUUGGCCGAGGCUUUUUCCUUGGGUACCGUCAGUUUUCUUCCCCAAGAAAAGAGGUUUACGACCCAAGGGCCUUCUUCCCUCACGCGGUAUAGCUCCGUCAGGCUUGCGCCCAUUGCGGAAGAUUCCCCACUGCUGCCUCCCGUAGGAGUCUGGGCCGUGUCUCAGUCCCAGUGUGGCUGACCAUCCUCUCAGACCAGCUACUGAUCGUUGCCUUGGUAGGCUCUUACCCCACCAACUAGCUAAUCAGCCGCGAGCUCCUCUUCAGGCGUUAACGCUUUCACCCGUAGGCUCAUCGGGGAUUAGCCGCCGUUUCCAGCGGUUAUCUCCGUCCUGAAGGUAGAUUCUCACGCGUUACUCACCCGUCCG
This 661-nucleotide ribosomal RNA is filed under the name uncultured cyanobacterium. RNAcentral's name for it is "partial 16S ribosomal RNA". The record is from RNAcentral. Lineage: Bacteria; Bacillati; Cyanobacteriota.